AGAGAUUGAUCCUGGCUCACGAUAAACGCUGGCGGCAUGCCUAAUACAUGCAAGUCGAACGGACUAGUUUACUAGUCAGUGGCGAGACGGGUGAGUAACACGUAAGGAACCAACCCUUGACACGAGGAUAACUCCGGGAAACUGGAGCUAAUACUGGAUAGGAUAUAGAUACGGAAGUAUUUAUAUUUAAAGGCGCUUUCGGGCGGUGGAUGAAGGAUGGCCUUGCGUGCAUUAUAUAGCUGGUGAGGGCAACGGCCCACCGAGCCCACGAUGCGUACCUGAGCUGAGAGGCUGAACAGCCCCACUGGGACUGAGACAGGGACCAGACUCCUACGGGAGGCAGCAGUAGGGAAUUUUCGACAAUGGGGGGAACCCUGAUCGGAAGCAAUGCCGCGUGAAUGAAGAAGGUCUUCGGAUUGUAAAGUUCUUUUAUUGGAGAAGAACGGUACCUAUAGGAAAUGAUAGGUAAGUGACGGUAUCCAUUGAAUAAGCCCCGGCUAACUACGUGCCAGCAGCCGCGGUAAUACGUAGGGGGCGAGCGUUAUCCGGAAUUAUUGGGGUAAAGAGUGCGUAAGGCGGUUUGUUAAGUCACUUGUAAAAGAUCUCAGCCCAUUUGAGUAGGGCGAGUGAACCUGGCAGUCUUGAAUACGGUAGAGGUAAGUGGAAUUCCAUGUGUAGCGGUGGAACGCGUAGAUAUAUGGAGGAACACCAAUGGCGACGGCAACUUACUGGACCGGAAUUGACGCUGAGGCACGAAAGCGUGGGGAGCAAACAGGAUUAGAUACCCUGGUAGUC
Molecule: ribosomal RNA, 795 nt
Filed under: uncultured bacterium
Lineage: Bacteria
Description: bacterial SSU rRNA
Rfam family: Bacterial small subunit ribosomal RNA
Source: RNAcentral